Molecule: ribosomal RNA, 1372 nt
Filed under: uncultured bacterium
Lineage: Bacteria
Description: bacterial SSU rRNA
Rfam family: Bacterial small subunit ribosomal RNA
Source: RNAcentral
GAUGAACGCUGGCGGCGUGCCUAAUACAUGCAAGUCGAGCGAACGGACGAGAAGCUUGCUUUUCUGAUGUUAGCGGCGGACGGGUGAGUAACACGUGGAUAACCUACCUAUAAGACUGGGAUAACUUCGGGAAACCGGAGCUAAUACCGGAUAAUAUUUUGAACCGCAUGGUUCAAAAGUGAAAGACGGUCUUGCUGUCACUUAUAGAUGGAUCCGCGCUGCAUUAGCUAGUUGGUAAGGUAACGGCUUACCAAGGCAACGAUGCAUAGCCGACCUGAGAGGGUGAUCGGCCACACUGGAACUGAGACACGGUCCAGACUCCUACGGGAGGCAGCAGUAGGGAAUCUUCCGCAAUGGGCGAAAGCCUGACGGAGCAACGCCGCGUGAGUGAUGAAGGUCUUCGGAUCGUAAAACUCUGUUAUUAGGGAAGAACAUAUGUGUAAGUAACUGUGCACAUCUUGACGGUACCUAAUCAGAAAGCCACGGCUAACUACGUGCCAGCAGCCGCGGUAAUACGUAGGUGGCAAGCGUUAUCCGGAAUUAUUGGGCGUAAAGCGCGCGUAGGCGGUUUUUUAAGUCUGAUGUGAAAGCCCACGGCUCAACCGUGGAGGGUCAUUGGAAACUGGAAAACUUGAGUGCAGAAGAGGAAAGUGGAAUUCCAUGUGUAGCGGUGAAAUGCGCAGAGAUGUGGAGGAACACCAGUGGCGAAGGCGACUUUCUGGUCUGUAACUGACGCUGAUGUGCGAAAGCGUGGGGACCAAACAGGAUUAGAUACCCUGGUAGUCCACGCCGUAAACGAUGAGUGCUAAGUGUUAGGGGGUUUCCGCCCCUUAGUGCUGCAGCUAACGCAUUAAGCACUCCGCCUGGGGAGUACGACCGCAAGGUUGAAACUCAAAGGAAUUGACGGGGGCCCGCACAAGCGGUGGAGCAUGUGGUUUAAUUCGAAGCAACGCGAAGAACCUUACCAAAUCUUGACAUCCUUUGACAACUCUAGAGAUAGAGCCUUCCCCUUCGGGGGACAAAGUGACAGGUGGUGCAUGGUUGUCGUCAGCUCGUGUCGUGAGAUGUUGGGUUAAGUCCCGCAACGAGCGCAACCCUUAAGCUUAGUUGCCAUCAUUAAGUUGGGCACUCUAAGUUGACUGCCGGUGACAAACCGGAGGAAGGUGGGGAUGACGUCAAAUCAUCAUGCCCCUUAUGAUUUGGGCUACACACGUGCUACAAUGGACAAUACAAAGGGCAGCGAAACCGCGAGGUCAAGCAAAUCCCAUAAAGUUGUUCUCAGUUCGGAUUGUAGUCUGCAACUCGACUACAUGAAGCUGGAAUCGCUAGUAAUCGUAGAUCAGCAUGCUACGGUGAAUACGUUCCCGGGUCU